Long non-coding RNA from Astyanax mexicanus (Mexican tetra), 237 nucleotides. RefSeq lists it as uncharacterized. NCBI's taxonomy places the organism in Eukaryota, Metazoa, Chordata, Actinopteri, Characiformes, Acestrorhamphidae. The record is from RefSeq and is a predicted model, not a curated record. The transcript has 3 exons.
CACUGGAAGCAGCCUCAGAAGACAUUCUUCUGAUUUCUGAAAUUUACUCAGGUCAAACUCAUCCAGCUCCUCUUCUGAAUUCAGCAUCACAAACGCCACAGCUGACCACUCAGCAGGAGAGAGAUCAGCUCUUCUGAGAUAACUGGAUCCUCCUUCUCUGUUCAGGUACUGUUGGACUUCCUGCACUAGAGAAUGAUCAUUCAGUUCAUUCAGACAGUGGAACAGACUGAUCGUUUU